Molecule: long non-coding RNA, 939 nt
Organism: Zootermopsis nevadensis
Lineage: Eukaryota; Metazoa; Arthropoda; Insecta; Blattodea; Termopsidae
Source: RefSeq, a predicted model, not a curated record
GCAUUGCCUGUCCGAGCUAAAUCCUCCAGGAUUGUCACAAUCCCUUCUAGUGGCAAUUUUCCUGAGCAACAGUUCAGGUUUAAUACUGCAAAAUGCACGGGGCUAAGGAAACAAAACUGAGAACACUGCAGGUUUACAGUUUCCACACGGCGUUCUUUGCAUCUGGGGACUCUGAAUACGUCCAGGUGCUCGCUCGAGAGGCUUUCACGAAGAUGUUGACGUCUAAUUCACGAAUUAGAAUUGGAUCGCUCUGCAGUCAAACGAUUUUACUAAAUAUCCUCCUGAUGGAGGCAGCAAGGACCUCUGAAAGGUUGACAGACCUUUACCAGACCGCACGCCGCUACAACGCGGGAGAGAGCCGAAAUGUUCACCGAGACAUCGAGAGGACUGCAAAGAAACACCUGUCGCCGGGGCCCACUGCAAGGGCGCUUGCUGUCUCACUUGCAACAAUUUUGCAAAUCCUAUGCCGAAAUGAUCCAAAAAUGUAUUCCAUUUACACUUCUAACAAAUCGAACGUCCCCACAAAUAUGAAGCGUCCGGAAGAGGAUACAUCACUACAAUCUAUUAAAAGAAGUCUGUGUUAUGAAGGCAGUUUUUGCAAAACGCGAACAGCAAAUUUGAGUAAUUGAGCGCGUUUCGUGUUCCCCCAGGUAUUUGGCAAACAUCCAGCACGAAAUUAAGUAAUGUUCCACUAAAAUUCCGAAGACUUCGUCUAUGUUGUACUUCCGGUAUAAUGGCCGCCAUCCGUCGCCUUCACUCAUUGAACCGGAACUCAAUUGUCACUUCCCAGUUCGCGGCAGGAGCUGCACGAGUCAUCGCCAAGCGCUAGGAGCAACGGAAACACAGCUGUGUCCAACAUCGGGUCAAAUCCUGAUUGUCGUUGUGUGGGCCGAUGUGGUUCGAUAUGCUGUUGAACGGCGUGUUUUGGUUAUGGGUCGU